CCUUCCAAAUUUUAAUUUUUAGAUGAUAUAAAUUACUUCUAAAUCUAGUAGGUGAAGGGAAAAAGGGCCAAAUUUUCUACCAUAAUAAUAAAACUUGUACUAGUCCAAACAUACAUAAACAGGAUAUAAAUUCCAACAUUAAUGUGUAAAAAAGUGUCGACGCAAAAUAAUAAUAGGUGUAUACAAAUAAGAAAUGAAACUUGGGAGAGGAAAGGGCACUAGACUGUUGGCGGGUUUGACUUAAGAUUAUGGUGUUAACUCCUUUCUCGGAUGAAAUAUACUGUUGGUCUUGUUUUGAGACUCCAAGCGGAUACUAGAGUCUAGCCUUAAGACUCCAAGGUUGUUUGCUCUAGAAGUGUUCAUGCAAAAAUAAAAAGGAAAUAAAAAAUUAGUACAAUGGUCCAGCUUAAAUAAUCCCAAAUAAAGUCGCACGACAAAUGUAAUGUUAAAAAGCUAAGACAUGAAUUUCAAACUAGAUAAAUUUAAAUAGAAUAGCUAAAUCACCAUAUGUGUUUUAUUCACAGCUAAUCUCUUAAUACAUAAAGCUUAAAUUUAUACCAAACCCACGAACCAAAAGCACAGAGAAAGAAAUUAACUUAUGCCCAUUUUAAAGGGUCAAUAUGUAUGUCAUGCACAAAAAUGUUCCUGCAAACAAAUCCUAUUUGUAUGUGCACGUAAAGUAAAAAAUAAGGAAGUAAAAAGAAGGCCCAUUCCAUUAGGGAAUACAUAAAAGACUGCCUAACAUUUAGUAUUAAACUAAGCUAAGCAAACAUCUCUUUCAAAAGAGAUGUUGAUAUUCUUAAGAAAAUAAUAUCCGGAAGACUCCUGGCAAUAAAAAUACAUGCAUACAAAGACUUCAAAAGAUAUGUAUGCAUAUGGAAUACGGAUUAAGGCUGCAAGGGUGUAAAUCAUAUUUUAAGUUUUAUUAGAGAAAUAUGACAUUUUUCAAGCAAUCUAUGCCAAAUUUCACCAUUAAAGACACCAAACAAGCUAAUAACCUUAAAAAGAGAUAGAUUCAAUGUGGCUAUUAUCUAAUUCUAAAAGCAAAACAGUGAAAAUAACAUGAUUUUGCAGAGUCCAAACUAAGCGGCAGAAACAUUUAAACAUAGUUUUCACUGUAGCUAACUAAACUAACUUUUAAACAUGAUGUUUGCUAUAGCUAAACAAAAUCUUGCAGUAUACACAAGUUCUCUUUUUUUUUUAGAAAACACACAUCACUUUAUCACAAAACAAAAGAGGACAGAGGAUAUAGAUGUACCAUUUGUGGGGCAGUGAACGGGGAGUUUUCGACCUACGAUCUAUACCCGAACCCAAACGAUGAAGCUUGAACACUCUUUAAACCCGAGAUCGAAAUAAAAUGAAAUGGGGAGACUUUAAAAACGGCAGACUAGUAACUAUCGUGCCAUGGAACGGAUGAAAAAGCCUCGGGUGAUACCAUAAGUGAAAGAGAAUGAAAAGAGCAAUGUAAUGAAUGAACACACAGUAACUUUUGGGUGAUGUUUCAGCAACUGAGAGCAGCGGAAAUGGCUUGCUCACGGCUUAAAGAAUGAAUGGCCGAGAAAAAACUACAAACAAUGCUAGGUCGUCCGUCCUCCUUUUUUUUUUUCUUCCUUUCCUCCCUUUUUCUUUUUUUUCUAAGCUUCCAAGCAUGAGUAUUUAUAGCAGAUUUGUUGGAAUUCAUCCUUUGAGCGGGAAUUGGGUUCCUCAAAUUUUGAACGUUCAACAUUCAAAUAUUGGAAUUUGUCUCCACUCGAUCUUCAUGUGAUGGAAAGGAUUCAUCACAAAAAUGGAGUAGCAAAUCCUGCCCAUGGUGAAAGGGGUCUGUAUUUUUGCUUGAAGAGGAGAAGAAAACGUUGAGGCAUGUUCAAAGAGGUGGUUCAUUGAGAGUAGAGAAACUUAGGCUAGGUUUUAGGUUUUUUUUUUUUUUUUUUUGUGGGGGGGGGGGGGGGGGGCACUAUUGAUAUUUUAGGUGAAAUAAGUGAGGAUAAAAUUGAAAGUUUUCGAUAAUUGGAAAUUAAAUGAAUUUGACCAACAAAUAGGGCAAAGACACGUGGUAAAGGAGGUGUCAGGCAUGUGCUGGGUUGUGUGAGAAGUGCAACAAAAGUGUGUUUAGCGUAUGUUAUGCCUAUUUGGCACUUUAUGUGGCGCAAACUUGGUGUCCAUGUGGCGCUGAGGUAGAAGGGGAGAGAAAAGGUGGGCUUUAUGGGUUAGAUCUUGAAAUUGGGCCAAAUUGCAAGAAUAUUGUAAAAUGGGCUAAUUUAAAAAGAAAAAAUUACUUAAACCACACCUUAACUUUUCAUUAUUACUUAAAAUCACAUCCCACUAAAUUAAUUACAAAAAUUCCUUCUAACUCAAAAAAAAAACAUAAUAUUUGUUGAUACAUUACAACCCACCCUAUUUUUACGCCUCCUGCUCCUCAAAACUCGCCCAAAAUCAUGGAGAAGUAUUCGAUAUUUUUCACCAACUCAGCAAUUUUGAAUUUCAACCGUGUUAUUAGCCACUACUUCAACAUUCAAGUUUCAACUUUCAAUUACAACAUCCAUUAACUUUCUUCUUCAAAUUUAUAGGAGGUAAGUUUGUUUUCAUAAAUUUUUUCCGACUAUGAUGAAGAAACUGCGGGAGAUUGCUGGUAGUAGCAAUAAGAAGCAUAUUGUUGGUUGAUGUUCAUUGUUUUGGCAUCAAACAUAACGUAAUGUAUAUUUAUGGCAUCAAAUAUAUGAAACUACUUGACAUGCUAGGAGCCCAUCGUUUUGGCAUCAAAGAUACAUUACAUAGCAAUAAAAAACUACAGGACAUGCUAGGAGCCCAUCGUUUUGGCAUCAAAGAUAAUGUAAUGUAUCGUUUUGUUAAAACAAAAGUUUUUUAUCAAAGGUAUGAAUUAUACAUAUUCUUGUUAACGUAAUGUAUCAUAUGAAUAAACAAGUCUUCAAAUCGGGGAUUUCGAUAAUAAUAGAGAUGCGUUGCAGAUGACCAUAUUUAUUCAUACAUAUUUGUUUGUUCUGGUACAUCAUAAAAUUUAGGCGUGAUUUUGAUUCUUUCUACAACUGAUACAUUCAAUAUAAUAUGUCCGAUACAUGAUCCAAGGUUAAUAAUACAUUGCAUGCUUUCUGACAUAUAAUUCAACUUAUAUGUGAUUUUGGUUCAUUUUUAUAACUGAUACAUUUAAUAUAAUGAUUAUGAUACAUAGAUCUAUUUUCUGACCAAACUAUUGAAUGCUUUCUGAUACAUGAAAAUAUUUAUAUGUGAUAUGAGUUUCGCACUCCUGAUACAUUAAAUUUUUUACACCUCCUACAUUUAAUAUAUGUAUGUGAUAUAGGUUUCGCAUUCCUGAUACAUUAAAUUUUUUACAUAGAAAGAUAUAUAUGGGAUAUGAGAUUUGUACUUCUGAGACAUCAAAUUCUUAUAUUGUGUUUAUUUUUUUCUGAACACAUGGGAUGAGAUUUUGUAUGAUGAACAUGGAAUGAAUGAGUGAAGAAUGAAUUAGUUUUGGAAGAUUAUGAUUGAUGAAGCUUGAUUUGACUAUAUUUCAAAUAAAGAAGUUGUUACAGAUUUUAUGUAAUUAAACACACACAAUCUUAAAUUGAGUGUGUUAAUUACUAAAUUGUAGGCACUUUUACUGAUUUUUUUCUUUUUUAUCUCCAAUUAAUUAGUUAGUAAUAUAUCAUAAACUUAUGUAUAGGAUAUUAAAUAAUGUAUCAUAUUCGGGAUAUCACGUAAUUAAUAUAAAAGUUGGGAGAGAGAGUAAUUAGGUAACAAAAUGUUGGGGUUUAUGUAAAAUGCCCAUUUAAAAAUACGUUCUUUCUUAUGUUCUUUGGCCUUUCUAAAUUAAUCUAAAUAACACUUUUAACAAAACAUAUUAUAAAUAUACGAAUAAAUGACAAAAACUAAUUGACACUAAAAUAUAAUUAUUUGAACAAAGUCGCAUGAUAAAUUUGGAAUUGAACAAUAAUAUUUAUAAACAAGAAAGUCACCGAAAUACUUCAUUCGAUUAAAAAUAGAUAAAUAAAUAAAUAUAAUGUCUUUUGCGAAAGUUUGAGAAAAUGCGACGAUAAUUCACAAUAUAACAAAAUUGUAAUGAUAAUAAUGAUAAUAAUAAUAAUAAUAAUAAUAAUAAAUAAUAAUAAUAAUAAUAAUGUCGUCGAUAACUUUUAGUUUAAAAAUACAAAUGGUGGCACGACUUGCAUAAACUCCUAAUUAUAGGAAUAUCAUACACAUAUUUUUUAAGCUAUCAAAAUUAUUUAGAAGCGCAAAGAGAUGACUUGGAAGAAAGACGGGACAAAAUUGGGUGUCAACAGGUGUCCCUCUUUGGUUGAAAAUGAUGAAAGAGUUUCUGAACAAAGAAGUUGACUAGUAACUUAAUUUUGUCACUGCUGACAGGAUCUAGGAGGAUAUGUAGCAGAAUGUUAGGGAGAUUGUGGCCGAAAUCCAUUCUCUGAGUUACGUACAUGUCUCGGGUUGCAUGAGAAUUAGGCCAAAUAUAGUUCAAGAGUCAUGAUAAGGAAGAAGCUCGAGUGAGCUUAGAACACCAUGAUCCAUAAAGGUGCCUUAGAAUCGCUAACUGAUAAGAACAACUGUAACGACUAAGAGGUUAGGCUUCAAAAAGUUAAAAAUGGAGUCAAGCAAAAUGAAACCUUAAGAGGAUAAAGAGUAAAGGGAAUCAAAGUGAAAUUGAAACUAUGGAUUAACAAAAUAGAGGUAUUGGACGAAAUGAAGUAAAUGCAUAGCUAAAGAGCGAUACUUUUACAAAAAUGCUUUAAGGAAAAAAAGAAAAACCGUCCCUGUAUCGAAUUAUGAUGAAACUGAGUGUUAAGAUUGAUAAAGAAAACAAAGAAGAGGGGAUAGAGAUGGAAAACGCACGGGAUUUAAGAUUUUUUUAAUUGAAAAAUGAAAGGCUGAUGUAAAAUUUCCUAUACACCCCAAAUGUGAGACGUAGGUUGAGUAAGAUUCAAGAGUAGAUCCUUGAACAUUAUUGGUGAGCUUGAUCUCCAACAAAUUACCCCAGUUCAUUGCUAAUAUAAAGUUCCACGUUAUGCGGUCUCCUUUGUCUGCAUACGAGUUUUUUUCCCUGCCAAGUAGAAAAACCAUGAGACAAAUGCAUCCAUCGCUUCUCUAGAUGCGAUUGGUUGAACGUGCAGUAUUUUAGAAGUAACAAAUUCAAAUUUUGUGGUUACAAAAUUUAUCAAUCUAAGUAGAAAUAUUAGCAAAAUCAAUGCUUAAUAACAAACAAACGAACAAUUGAGCUUGAUUUUUCAAUAAAUCAAAAGAUGGCAUGUAUUGUUUAAUUAAAAUAAAUAAAUAAAUAAAUAAUAAUUAAGUCUUUGCUAGACGUUCAAUUAGAGGAAAGUAAGUAAAAAUAUUCAACUUAAAGUGGACAUAUGUAUAAAAUAUCUUAUUAGAGGGCAGACUAUCCCAAAAUAUCCUACUUUCGGGUGGGCGAUCCAAAAUAUCCUAUUUUCUAGGAUGGAUGAACCCAAAAUAUCCUAUUUUAGGGUAGAUGAACCCAAAGUAUCUUAUUUUAGGGUGAACAAACCCAACGUGUCCUAUUUCAGGGUGAAUGGACCCAAUAUGCAUGACAAACUUACAAUAUGAAUGCAGUGCAGGGAGCUUGGUGAGAUUUUCUCAAAUAAUUCUUGAGAAUUUUUUUUAAAAAAAUAGCAUGAAGUGCAUAACUAAUUAAGAAAAAUAAUAAUGAUAAAACUAAAUAAAUGAUUAAGGCAUCACGAUAUGUUCAAAUAAAGGCAAGUAAGCAUAAGUAUCUAAUUGAAGGCGUGCGUGCAUAAAUGGUCUUAUUGGAGGGCAAACUAACCUAUAUAUCCUAUUUUAGGGUGGACGAACCCAACAUAUCUCAUUUUAAGGUGGACAAACCCAUAGUGUCCUAUUUUAGGGUGGACGAACUCAAUAUGUCCUAUUUUAGGAUGGACGAACCCAAUGUAUUCUAUUUUAGGGUGGACGAACCCAAUGUAUCCUAUUUUAGGGUGGACAACCCCUACAUAUCCUAUUUUAGGGUGGAUGGACCCAAUGUGUUCUAUUUUAGGGUGGGCAGACGCAUAAUAUAUUACAAACUUACAAAUAUUAAAGUAGUGCAUAGAGCUUGCUGUGAUUUUCUCUAAUAAUUUUGAGAAAAUUUAAAGGAUAGCAUGAAGUGCUUAAAUAAUUAAUAAAAGUAAUAAUGAUAAAAUUAAAUAAAUAAUUAAGGCAUUGCGACAUGUUCAAGUAAAACAAGCAAGCAUAAAUAUCUAAUUAAAGGAGAACGUGCAUAUAUGGUCCUAUUAGAGGGCAGACUAACCCACUCUAUCCUCUUUUAGGGUGGACGAACCCAAGAUGUCUCAUUUUAGGGUGGACGAACCCAAGAUGUCUCAUUUUUCUCUAAUAAUUUCGAGAAAAUUUAAAAGAUAGAGUGCAACGCUAGCAAAAAAUAGGUAAUGCAUUGCGAUCUAUUCAAUUAAACGCAAGUAAGCAUAAAUAUCUAACUAAAGCAAACAUGCAUAAAUAGUCUUACUGGAGGGCAGACUAACCCACUUUAUCCUGUUUUGGGAUGGACGAUCCAAGAUAUUCUAUUUUAGGGUGGAUGAACCCAAAGUAUCCUAUUUUAGGAUGGACCAACCCAAUGUGUCCUAUUUUAGGGUGAAAGAACUCAAUGUGCCCUAUUUUAGGGAGGACGAACCCAGUGUGUAUUGCAAACUUAUAAAAAAUUACUGUAGUGCAAGCUUGGUGCGAUUCUAUCUAAUUAAAAACAUUCACAACUCUAUAUAGUGCCUUUUCAGUAAUGAAAAUUCAAAUGUGUUGCCCUUCCGAUAACAAAUAUUAAUGUUGCAAUGCCACAUUAGUUAUUAUUUAUAAUGUGGCAUAAUUGGCAAACUUUGAUGCGAAGACGGUUCUGCACUCAAAAAGAGUUGUAAGUUUUGAAAUUUAAAUCUCAUUAGUUUUGCAUCGUAUUUGUAUUGCCUUUGUCGUGCUUUGCUAGCAUGUAAUUUCCUUCAAGGAUACUCGAAAAUCAACAUCUGCAUUACUCAAAGAAAACUUGUUAGUAUAAAAGAAAAUAAUUGCCUUGCAUUGAACCAUAAAGUCUUGACUUUGAAUUUGCAUUUCUUGUAGUAAUGGCAGUGCUCUGAUUUAAAGAUGUAUAUGUAGCCCAUGAUCUCAAAACACCUGCUUUGCCAAAAUUAUGAUAGGCCAGCUGCAAAGCUGUCCCAGUUUUAGCUAUGGGAGAAAAUGAAUUUUUUUAUUUUUUUUAAUAUGGUGACCGAACCCAAAACUGGCGCUUACAUAUCUCAUUUCUAGCUGGAAUCAGGUCAAACGUAGUUAAUAGAAAAGGCUGAAAAAGAUUGUAAAAGAGUAGGUGCUUAUAUAGGAAGAAAAGGAGAAUGGUACUAAGUUACAAAAAAGUAGCUACUAAUAAAGGAAAAAAAAAGGGAGAAUGAUAUUCUCAGGUUACAAAAUAAAAGAUAUUCAUAAAGGAGGAAAAGGAAAAUUAUAUUCUCAAGUUAUAAAAUGAUGCCUUUGUCAGUCUUCUAGACUUGAUGCGCUCUUUCUCUUCAAAUGCCUUAGUGCCAAUUUUGAUGGAUCACCCUUAACAAAAAUUAUGCCCUUAUUUGCGACAUUACCAUAACUGAUUAGAGGCUCUUGCUACAACUUUACCUUGCCACUCUCAAUAAGACUUUGAAUCUUGAAUCUUAGUGCUAGACAAUCUUCAGUGUCAUGUCCUUGAAUAUUUGAAUGAUAAGAACAAUUUUUGGAUAAAUCCCGUCUGGAGAUGGAUACUUAGGUAUGAAUCCCUUUUUGGGUUGCAAAAGUCUCUCAGUUCACAAUCACUCAAAUAUAUCCGUCAAUGACUCAUCUAGAGGAGUGAAUGAGAAAGGUCUAAUCUUUUUUUGUGGCCGCGAGAUAGAUUAUGCUUGUUGAAACUGCUGCUUCGAGCUAUGUUGAAAAUUUUGCUGACAAAAAGGCUGGAGAUACGCAUUACGAAGGUCAAAAGAAGCAUGAGAUUGCAAAGACUGGUGACCUUGAAGGCACUACGAUUGAUGAACAAAAGCUGAGUUGUUUACGCUUUCCAGAUUUUUUGAUGUCUUCAGUUGGAAAACAAGAUGAACAACUUAUACUGCUUCUACAAAUUUUUCUUCUUGAAUGUCGUUUUCAAUCUCUUUACCAAUUCGAAUUAGAUCGAAGAAGUUAUGUGCAUAAGCUUCGAGUAACUUAUCAAAAUAUAGGCCUUCUUAAAUUUGGAUGAAGGUUGAGAUCAAUUCAUCCUCAGAAUUCUUGAAGCUUCUAAUAUCCAUUGCAUGGAAUAUUCUUGAAAGGAUUCAUGUGGCAUCUUCUUCACUUUGAGCAAAUCCGCCAUGUGCAAAUCGCCACCAAUGUUAAACUAGUAUUACCUUACAAAGUCACGAGCCAUACAUGUGCUCAAUUUGCUAAAGUCUUUCUUGGUAAACCAAGUUAGCGCCACUCCUGAUAAACUUUGAAUGAAUAGCCUCAUUUGUAUGGCUUCAUCAUGUCUAAUUCCAAUUAACCUACUGUAGUAGUCCUUUAAGUGUGCAACGAGAUCUCCUUUCCCACCGAAAGUAUUAAAUUUGGGUAGAUUAUACCCUAAUGGAAGAUCAAUAUUCGGGUGCACAUACAAGUAUUCAUACCUUAGACUCUGGCAAUUUCUUAAACACAACUCUUCAUCAAGUGCUUUUCUCAGAUUGUAGAGCUUUUUGUCUAAAUUUUCGGGGCGGAUUGACUAAAACUCCUUUCCAUGUUUUACAUUUUGACAGACUGAUAGCUGCUCGUGCUUAGUUUCCUUGAAAGGAAGCACAACUGUGGGAGAAUGGAUAUUUGGCACCAUAGUAAGCUAGGAAUUUUUUAGAUUGCUAGUAUAUAUUGAUGGCAUUUACGGAGAGAUCGUAUAGGUAGGAGUUGGGCGAGGUGAUAUGGUUAAACAAAUAUUUUUGGUUGAGUUGGAAGUCGUGGUAGUGGUAGAAAGAAGGCUAAAAGUACUUAGUAAAUUGACCAAAAUAUUUCUUUGAACCACAUUCUUUUUGACAUCAUCAUUUUGUGCUUGCACUAAACCCACACCGGUAUUGAAUGAUUCAUACCUAUAUGUUAUUACUUUAUCGUUCUCAACGCAAAUUCAUAGUCAAAACAAUGUUCAAUGUCAGGCAAUCUCUAAACAAUAAUGAAAUUUUAAAUAUAAAAUAAAGUGUCAAUAUAUGCGCAAUGCAUAUAAUAAUAAUAAUAAUAAUAAUAAUAAUAAUAAUAAUAAUAAUAAUAAUAAUAUUUUAGGAAAAGAUUGAUCUGUGAUGAGCCUAAGUAAGAGGUCUAGACUAGAAAAGACAAUCUUAGUUGCGGAACGAGUGGAUUCGGAGACUUCUUAGCUAGUAGGCUCUAAUGCUUGAGAUGUAAAAAAAAAGUAACAAUUUAUUUGGAGUAGUAAUCAGAAGAAAGGUUGACUUAUGUCGAACACCAAAGCUUGGCUCUAGCUUGAUCCUUAUACUUGCUAACCCUAACGUAUCCUAAAAUUUGCCUCAGUCUAAAAACAAUUAUAAUGAUGAUGCCUCAUCUUGUGUGCCAAAAUUCUGUCCCAUCUUUAAACAUUGUGAUGACGAUACCUUGAUUGUAUGCUAAGGUUCUGCCCCAGUUGUCUUCUCUCAUAUUUUUUGGGGGGAAAAUAAAAACAUAAUAAAGAGACCGAGCCUAAUGUAGGCUGCCUACGUAUCCUAUUUUCAAUAGGAAAUCAGGUCAAACGUAAUUCCAAUUACAUACAAAAAGAAAGUCAAAAUUCUAUGAUAAUAUGACCGGGUCCCUAUGUGGGCCACCUACAUAUUCACUGAGGAAAUCAGGUCAACUGUAGUUCGCCUUACAUAAAAUAAAUUUUAAAAACGUUCAAAGGAUUGAUCAUUACAACAAUACAUAAUUGUUCCAAAAGAAAUGCUACCCAAAAACUGAUCAUCCUUCUACAUAAGUCCUAGAUAACAUAUUUAAAAGGGAUCCUACUACACCUUAAUCGUUAUGCUCAAGGAAACCAUUGUUGGAGUUCUGCCAGGUUCGAUUGUAAGUUCUUGCAAAAAUUGCAGGAGUUCUUUUCCUUUUGGGCCCCUCAGAAACUCUACAGACUUCCUUUUAAAUGAACCAACCCCUCUAGAAAUACUGCUAGAAGACCCAUGUUUUCUGACAAAAUCAUCGAUAAUAUUGCCCUAAGAAGACCAUCUACACAUACCUUGCGUUGCAUACCACAUCAAAGAUGGACCUGUAAGUGUCCUAACAAAGAGUCUCAUCUUUAAUUUAUUGUCUUGUCCAAUAUUUCUCACCCAAUCAACAUAUGCCUUCAGGUGGUCUAUGGGAUUUCCAACUCUAUCAGAAUAUUUUCAUAAUCCAUCUUAAAAGGUAAAGCAGACUCAUUUGUAAAGGAAAUCUGAUUAGUCUCAAUGUCAAAAUGCCUUUCACCCUUUGCUCUGCUUUUGCUCGUCUCCGCUAGGUUAUUGAAUGACUCUUUUGGCAAGGAUGAGUGCAUGUUAGAGAAAAGUUGGUCAUUAUAAUCAAAAGUGGGUGCAUCACUUCCAAAGAGAGAGUAUGCUUCUGAGGCUUUAAAAGGGGGAAGUGUGGCAAUAAUGCCAAGGCUUCAAAAGGGGGAAGUGUGGCAAUAAUGCUGAAGGGCGAGUAUGCUUCUGAGCCUUUAGUGAAUGAGUUCUUAAAGUCAACUAUCAUUUCUUUCAUGCUAUCAAUUUCUUGAUCCAUUUGUGACACUUUUGUAUCAAGCUUAGCAACUUUAUCUUGAUACAACUCUGGUUCUUCACAGUCGAAUUCAUCCUCACUAAGGUCAAUCACCGUAAUUUGGUCGGCCAUAUCAUCCUUGAAUUACCUUUGGUGCUCAACUUAACUCAACCUUUGGAAGGAAAAUGAAAUAGUUGGUAAGCAUUGAAUUGAAAUGGUUAAAAGUAAAGAAUUUUAAAAAGUGAUUAAAAAGAACCUAAUAGAUCGAGUCCUAUAAGGGGUAUAAACUCGAGAUAAUAAGCUCUAGAUAAUAAUUAAUAAGGAAAAGAGCGCACGGAAAUUGCAUUUUGAUAAGACAAAGGAUUGUGAAUGACGUAAAAUUCUAAUUUUGCAUCGUUGGGUUAAAAAUUAUCGAGAAUGAAUAAUUUUGUUGAUUAAAAUGAGUGCGGAAAUAUCAAUUCCUAUAAUCUCAAGAUAGGAACGACACAAGCAUAUUAAAUGAGUGAGACUUUAAAGAAGUACCAAACUUGGGUCGUCGCCCUAAAAUAAAUUAACGAAGAAAGUUGAACAAAUAAAAUCAAGUGCGAUUGGAUGAUUUGUGUAUAUAAAUUUGGGUAUCUACCAGCUUAAGAAGCAACCAAUGGCCUGAAGUCCAAUAAAAGUUCGAAAGACUUUAAGAGCAUGAGUAAGAAUUUCACAAUGUAGAUCAGCACUGCAUAGAUACUACGAAGAUAAAACUAACAGGCUAGAUAUUCCAUCGCUACAAGUAGAAGAUUACACCCGUAAAGAAAGGACUUAGCGGAGUUUUAAAAGGUAGAAAAUAUAGUAGCUCGAGUUUUGACAUGAGUCUGGCAAUAUUUGAAAUGAAUGAUGUAGAAAAAGUAGAUAGGAAAGAUAUUUGCGAAGAAUUAUGCCCACAUUAACAGAGCAGAAUGAAGUUUUAACAAAAUUCAGACACAAGUAUUGAAAAGCUCGAGGAAAAAUUAAAGAUAAUGACGAAUUAAACUCAUUAAAAAAAUUAAAGAAAGAAUGUGAACCCUAUAGAAGAUUGUCAAAUGAAAAUGAAAGAUAACCUUAAUCGAAAUAUUAAGAAUUCGACGGGCUUAAGAUAAUUUCCUAAAUAAUUCUCUAGAAUCUUUAAAAUGUGUUAAGCGUGACAAUGUUACAAUAAAAGACUUUUAAACAGAUGUCAUUAUACAAAAUAUGUAAAAAGUGCAACAGAUAAUAAAUUAAAUUUUCCUCUGAACAUAAGGACAAAACAAAUGUAAAGUUAGCAAAUAAGUAUCAAGUUGAAUGAAUUCAUUUAGGUCAAGUACCACGUAAGCAAGAAAAUUCAUAAAAUAAAUAACAGAAAUAUGUUAAAUAACACGUCCUAUUAUGCAGGUGACUCCUUUAUGCCGGAGGUAGGCCUAAGCGUUAAAUAAUUGAAAUUUCAAUAAAUUGAUUCAAGAUUCAAUUAAUGACACUACACGAGUUCCGAGUUAGAAUUUUCCAAUCUCAAUUUGAUCAAAAUUUGACUUGGAUCAAUUUAUCAUUAUCUCUGUACAUAAUAUGAAGGUCGUCGUCGGGUCAUGAAACCUUUUGACGUAAAGCCGUUUCCUAAAUUCGUGGAAUGAAACAAUGGAUCAACCCACCUAUGGAAGAUUUGUUGGAAUUCACCCUUUGAGCGGGAAUUAGGUUCCUCAUAUUUUGAACGUUCAACAUUCAAAUGUUGGAAUUUGUCUCCACUCGAUCUUCAGGUGAUGG
Molecule: long non-coding RNA, 12435 nt
Filed under: Capsicum annuum
Lineage: Eukaryota; Viridiplantae; Streptophyta; Magnoliopsida; Solanales; Solanaceae
Description: long non-coding RNA (CANN_LNC015270)
Source: RNAcentral